This 525-nucleotide ribosomal RNA is filed under the name Triticum aestivum (bread wheat). Its description in RNAcentral is "partial small subunit ribosomal RNA". The record is from RNAcentral. Lineage: Eukaryota; Viridiplantae; Streptophyta; Magnoliopsida; Poales; Poaceae.
AUGGUUAGUCCAUUACAAAGAGGCAGCGGCUUCUGCUCGUCACAACAAAGACGAGGCCCCGGAAUCGAUCGAGGAAGCAAGCAACCGCACCCAAACCCUAGCCGAGCUCAGCCGACGCCGCCUCCUCCUCCGGAUUCCGUUGCCAUGGCGCUGCGCUCUCCCUCCAGCACUUCGCGGCAGGAUCUGUCGCCGCCGGCGGACUCUCUGCCUCCCAUCUCUCAGGGUGGAUCCAGCAAUGGAGCCAAAGCAGAUGUUGCUAGGAAGAAGGAGGUUGAUCAUUUGUUGGCAAAAUUAAAAAAGGAGGGAGUGGAGAUAGAUGGCAACAUAGCUAGUAUUAUUGAUGAUGAGAUGGCUAGAAUUAAAGCUGAAGCUGAGAGGGCGAGCAUCAUUAAUGGUCUGAAAAGGAACGGGUGGUUGGUAAUGCUCACUAUUACAUCUGCUGCUUUGGGUUUCCUCCUGGGAGGGGAAUGUUAUGAAAAGGCCCUCUAUGCGCAGAUGCGCGUCAUUUUUGGUGAAGAAGAAUAG